CGAUGCUGGCUGCGCAGAGAGGGGAGACUGAGUUUUUCCUCGCGCGCCCCCUCGUGGUGGGAGGGAAAUCUAUAGCAAACGUCGCCAGUCCUCGGAAAAGGGAAGGACGGAGUGAAAGAACCCAUCCGCUCAGAUUCAGAAAGUCGUUUCCUAGGUGCAGUACAGUACCCUGUUGAACAUCACGGCCUCUUCAGUCAGAACCUCCCGACCUACACCACGCCAGCUGCAAGGUCUCGGACAAGCCUUUUCAUCACCCCGUGCCCCGCUUCCUUGUCCGUGAAAUGGGAUUGACAACGUUGCUGCACUUUAGGGUUGCCCUGAUGAGAGGAAACAGAGGUUUCAGUGGAGCCCAGGGCCUCAGGAGCAGGCGGGCGUGUCUCAGAGAGUGCACGCACCCUAUAGAAAAAUCUCUCUGGGAAAACAAACAAACAAAAACCAAGUAUGCGGCCAUUUGUUACAGCGGCAACAGGAAAUUUAUACAGAAAACGACUUGCCCAAGGCCGCACCACUAGGAAAUGGAGGUCAAAUUAAAAUAAAUAAACGAACA
Long non-coding RNA from Tupaia belangeri chinensis (Chinese tree shrew), 547 nucleotides. RefSeq lists it as uncharacterized. NCBI's taxonomy places the organism in Eukaryota, Metazoa, Chordata, Mammalia, Scandentia, Tupaiidae. The record is from RefSeq and is a predicted model, not a curated record. The transcript is spliced from 4 exons.